Molecule: transfer RNA, 59 nt
Filed under: Trichuris sp. GHL-2013
Lineage: Eukaryota; Metazoa; Nematoda; Enoplea; Trichinellida; Trichuridae
Description: tRNA-Asp
Source: RNAcentral
AAGAACUAGUUUAUACAGCUUCAAACAUUGGGUUGUCAACCCAAAAAUACCUUCUUUAA